AAGGUUUCCGUAGGUGAACCUGCGGAAGGAUCAUUGCACACACAAGUUGCAGCCAACCCGCGGCGAACGAACACAUUGUCCCCCUCGGCGGGUCGUGGCGCCUCGCGGCGUCGCGGCCGGCCAUCUCCCUUCGUCACGAGCUUCGUCGCGGCGAGCUCGGGGCGUGGGGUUUCCACGAUGCAUCCACCUUGACUGAAUGACUGAGUCCCUUUACUUCAUAGGAAUUAGCUCCGUCCCCGUUCGCCGGCUCGCUUGCGAAUUGGGGCGGCGCUGGUUACCUUACGAGUUGAAACAUAACCAAAAACAACUCUCAGCAACGGAUAUCUUGGCUCUUGCAACGAUGAAGAACGCAGCGAAAUGCGAUACGUAGUGUGAAUUGCAGAAUUCCGCGAAUCAUCGAGUCUUUGAACGCAAGUUGCGCCCGAGGCUUGUCCGAGGGCAUUUCCGCUAGAGCGUCACCGCGCCCCCCACCAACCCGCUCCCACGUGGAUUCGGGUCGAGUGAAAGUGGCCAUCCUGGUGGGCCCUUUUUCUUCCUUAAGGGAAGAGGAAGGCCUUAAGGGUUGGCUGAAAUGGAGGGAAUCGAGCCGCCGUGGUGACACAGUCCGCGAUCGGGUGAUCCGAGCUCCUUCGGGAGCCCGGAAUUUUUCUAAGUGCGUGGCUGCGUCCCCCAGUUGGUUUUAGUUACCUCAUGCAGGUCGAGCGCGCCCUCGUGGCGCGCGUCACGCAUCAGACCUCUAAUCGGAAAAGACUACCCGCUGAGUUUAAGCAUAUCACUAAGCGGAGGAGAAGAAACUAACCAGGAUUUCCCUAGUAACG
RNAcentral lists this ribosomal RNA (818 nucleotides) under Sarmentypnum exannulatum. RNAcentral describes it as "eukaryotic LSU rRNA". The stretch from base 306 to 458 matches the Rfam family "5.8S ribosomal RNA". Lineage: Eukaryota; Viridiplantae; Streptophyta; Bryopsida; Hypnales; Amblystegiaceae. The record is from RNAcentral.